RNAcentral lists this ribosomal RNA (696 nucleotides) under uncultured bacterium. RNAcentral describes it as "bacterial SSU rRNA". It matches the Rfam family "Bacterial small subunit ribosomal RNA", at positions 32 to 715 of the family's 1533-position model. The record is from RNAcentral.
AACGCUAGCUACAGGCUUAACACAUGCAAGUCGAGGGGAAACGAUAUUGGAAGCUUGCUUCCGAUAGGCGUCGACCGGCGCACGGGUGAGUAACGCGUAUCCAACCUGCCCACCACUUGGGGAUAACCUUGCGAAAGUAAGACUAAUACCCAAUGACGUCUCUAGAAGACAUCUGAAGGAGAUUAAAGAUUUAUCGGUGAUGGAUGGGGAUGCGUCUGAUUAGCUUGUUGGCGGGGUAACGGCCCACCAAGGCUACGAUCAGUAGGGGUUCUGAGAGGAAGGUCCCCCACAUUGGAACUGAGACACGGUCCAAACUCCUACGGGAGGCAGCAGUGAGGAAUAUUGGUCAAUGGACGAGAGUCUGAACCAGCCAAGUAGCGUGCAGGAUGACGGCCCUAUGGGUUGUAAACUGCUUUUAUAAGGGAAUAAAGUGAGCCUCGUGAGGCUUUUUGCAUGUACCUUAUGAAUAAGGACCGGCUAAUUCCGUGCCAGCAGCCGCGGUAAUACGGAAGGUCCGGGCGUUAUCCGGAUUUAUUGGGUUUAAAGGGAGCGUAGGCCGGAGAUUAAGCGUGUUGUGAAAUGUAGACGCUCAACGUCUGCACUGCAGCGCGAACUGGUUUCCUUGAGUACGCACAAAGUGGGCGGAAUUCGUGGUGUAGCGGUGAAAUGCUUAGAUAUCACGAAGAACUCCGAUUG